RNAcentral lists this long non-coding RNA (412 nucleotides) under Physcomitrium patens. RNAcentral describes it as "long non-coding RNA (PPAT_LNC006782)". The record is from RNAcentral. Lineage: Eukaryota; Viridiplantae; Streptophyta; Bryopsida; Funariales; Funariaceae.
ACCGAAGAAAUCUGAGAAAACAGAAAUUGUGUAAAGCCAGAUUAAUUGAGUAAGAUUGGUUAUUCCUAGUGUUGAAUGGAAUUUAUGUAUUUUGUGUGGACUUUUGAGACAGUGCAGAUUGCAUUUAGUGGUUAUUGGUUAAUGAAAGGAUUUCAUUAGCAGGAAAAAAUCUUGUAGUGUUUCUUCGCUGUUUUAAGUAGUGCGGAAUACAGUUAAUUGUGUGACCCUAACGUGUAAGCUCAUGUGGUAUUCUUUCCCUGUGUUCAAAUUCUCCUAUACAUGUUUACUCUGAUUAGAUUAGUUAGAGUAAGUAAAAUGACAAUCACAACGAUUAAAUAUUAUCGUCCAAGUCCAACCUUCCACUUGCUACAUCAACCCAAAUUCGUAAGGUAGUACCUCGAUGGCUUAGAUC